CCUACGGGGGGCAGCAGUAAGGAAUAUUGGUCAAUGGACGCAAGUCUGAACCAGCCAUGCCGCGUGGAGGAUGAAGGUCCUCUGGAUUGUAAACUUCUUUUAUCUGGGACGAAACACUCCUAUUCUUAGGGGCCUGACGGUACCAGAUGAAUAAGCACCGGCUAACUCCGUGCCAUCAGCCGCGGUAAUACGGAGGGUGCCGGCGUUAUCCGGAUUCAAGGGGGUGGAGGGGGGCGUAGGUGGGAGUGGUGAAAUCCCCGAGCUUAACUUGGGAACUGCCGUUGAUACUAUACAUCUUGAAUAUCGUAGAGGUAAGCGGAAUAUGUCAUGUAGCGGUGAAAUGCUUAGAGAUGACAUAGAACACCAAUUGCGAAGGCAGCUUGCUAUGCGAUUAUUGACACUGAGGCACGAAAGCGUGGGUAGCAAACAGGAUUAGAUACCCUGGUAGUC
RNAcentral lists this ribosomal RNA (450 nucleotides) under uncultured bacterium. RNAcentral's name for it is "partial 16S ribosomal RNA". It matches the Rfam family "Bacterial small subunit ribosomal RNA", at positions 338 to 795 of the family's 1533-position model. The record is from RNAcentral.